GUAGAUAUUUUUGAAAUUCAUGUGAAAUGGAUCUGUUUAGUCAAUAUAUAAUAUGUCAGCUGUCAACUCGACGCGUUCCACUUUUUUCUAACAAAAUGUUACAUUUCAUUAUGAAAUUCUGCAGUUAUCACAUUAUUUUUUACCAAAAAGAAGAAGAUAGCACAUUUAGUAAUGCAAUAUUAAAACAUAUGAGUGUACAGUGAAUUUGAAUGACCGGUACAAUGGGUCUAAAAAAGAAGAAGAAUAUAAUAAUUUUGACAUUGUGUAUGGUGAUAUGCUUCAUACUUUACCAGUUGUAUUUCUUCCUAACGAUAACCUCUGAAGCCGGCGAUAACAAUAGGGUUGUUCCUGUCUUACACCUGGAUCACGAAGAAGUCGAAGCUAUGACACAUCUACGUUCCGAAGCUGAUAAGUUCAUAA
This is a long non-coding RNA of Trichoplusia ni (cabbage looper), 420 nucleotides long. RefSeq lists it as uncharacterized. Lineage: Eukaryota; Metazoa; Arthropoda; Insecta; Lepidoptera; Noctuidae. The transcript has 2 exons. The record is from RefSeq and is a predicted model, not a curated record.